Molecule: long non-coding RNA, 331 nt
Filed under: Salmo salar (Atlantic salmon)
Lineage: Eukaryota; Metazoa; Chordata; Actinopteri; Salmoniformes; Salmonidae
Description: lncRNA (ENSSSAG00000115406.1)
Source: RNAcentral
CAUGGUUUACAGUUCUGUUUCAGAGUGAGUGAGUCUAGGGCUAGGCUAUACAUCCCAUGGUUUACAGUUCUGUUUCAGAGUGAGUCAGUCUAGGGCUAGGCUAUACAUCCCAUGGUUUACAGUUCUGUUUCAGAGUGAGUGAGUCUAGGGCUAGGCUAUACAUCCCAUGGUUUACAGUUCUGUUUCAGAGUGAGUGAGUCUAGGGCUAGGCUAUACAUCCCAUGGUUUACAGUUCUGUUUCAGAGUGAGUGAGUCUAGGGCUAGGCUAUACAUCCCAUGGUUUACAGUUCUGUUUCAGAGUGAGUCAGUCUAGGGCUAGGCUAUACAUCCC